UGGAUGGAAUUUCAAGGUUUUUACUAAGGGAAGAAAGAAUGUGAUAAUAAAAUCUGUGGUAACGGUUUUACCAAACCAUGUAAUGUUCUGCUUCCGCAUAUCAAAAAUGGUGAUGAAGAAGCUAACAAGUCUAGUGGCACAAUUUUGGUGGAGACCAGGGGAAAUACCAAAGAUCUGGAUCAGACUUUGGAAGACCUAUGGAAAGUCUUUUCGGAAGUCUUCUCGAAAGUCUUCUAAAAUAUAAUGCGCUAGAAGACUUCCAGACGACUUCCAGGAAGUCUUCUGACGGGUCUUCUUCCAUAUCAAGUGGAGUCUAAGCAUGUCUUUGUAGAGGAAUGAUCUAUAAUAGUUUUGUUUGUGGUAUGAUUUGUGAUUUGCAUGUGUACUCCUUUAGUUGUGAUUUUUUUUUUUUGUAAGUUUGAAAAUAUAUUAAUGAAAAAUUUUGGUACAUAUGUUCAUUUUCCACAAUAUUAUCUUGCUUAAGUUACUUGACAUAAUUGAAUUUAUUGAUACAACUUCAAUAGAAAAACACAAUAACACAAAAAUUAAUCAAAUUUAUUACAAUUAAUGGAGAAGAAUUCUCAAGAAAACUUAGUCAAAUUCACAAAAAAUAAAACAUUACAUAAGUUCAAAGCUAUAACACUUUCAUUAGAUACAUAAGUAAAAAGUAUAUCUUAUAAUCUGAGAAGACACAUUAAACCAUGUUACUUGAUAUUCUUGAAAUUACUUAACACUUUUGAAAAUUAAAUAAACAUAUCUUAAAGUUACUUAACAAAUUUACGAAAACUAACAUAGAAGACUUCUACAAAAGUCUUCACAAUUAGGUAGAAACUUCACUAAACAUGAAUGUUGGUAACCUCAUAAAUAUCACCAAUUAAGUUAUAAAUUUCAUUCAGUAGCCCCAAUAUUGAUUAAUAUACAUGAAUUAACAAAAAAAAAUUAAAAAGUCUUUAUAGUUUUAGAAAAAAAGAAAGUUUAUUAAACAUUGGCGCAGACGACUUCUACGUAGAUCGUCUAGUAGCGUCCAUUUAGGUUAGUUUUGCAAUUGAUUUUUAACCUAGACGACUUACAUGGAAGUCGUCCAUCUUUGUUUGUUAAAAAAAAAACUCGAGACAACUUACAUGUAAGUCGUCUAGGGAAAACGGAUUAGUUAUGCAUUUCACCGGAUUGUGUCAAAAAUUUGACUUUUCCUGGACGACUUACACGUAAGUCGUCCAAUAGAAGAUUAAAAAAACAAUAUUUUUUUAUACCUAGACGACUUACAUGAAAGUUGUCUCAGGUUCGUUUUGCAAUUGAAAAAU
Molecule: long non-coding RNA, 1301 nt
Organism: Brassica rapa (field mustard)
Lineage: Eukaryota; Viridiplantae; Streptophyta; Magnoliopsida; Brassicales; Brassicaceae
Source: RefSeq, a predicted model, not a curated record